GGGAAUGUGGCUUAGUGGUAGAGUGCUUACCUAACAUGCAAGAAGCCGUGGGUUCAAUUCCUCAGUACUG
This 70-nucleotide transfer RNA is filed under the name Dipodomys ordii (Ord's kangaroo rat). It matches the Rfam family "tRNA". From Rfam's summary of the family: Transfer RNA (tRNA) molecules are approximately 80 nucleotides in length. Their secondary structure includes four short double-helical elements and three loops (D, anti-codon, and T loops). The record is from Rfam by way of RNAcentral. Lineage: Eukaryota; Metazoa; Chordata; Mammalia; Rodentia; Heteromyidae.